This 228-nucleotide ribosomal RNA is filed under the name uncultured bacterium. RNAcentral's name for it is "partial 16S ribosomal RNA". It matches the Rfam family "Bacterial small subunit ribosomal RNA", at positions 568 to 795 of the family's 1533-position model. The record is from RNAcentral.
UGCGUAGGCGGAUUAAUAAGUCAGUGGUGAAAUCUCCCGGCUCAACCGGGAAACUGCCAUUGAUACUGUUAGUCUAGAGUUUAGAUGAAGUGGGCGGAAUGUAGCAUGUAGCGGUGAAAUGCUUAGAUAUGCUACAGAACACCGAUUGCGAAGGCAGCUCACUAAACUAAAACUGACGCUCAUGCACGAAAGCGUGGGGAUCAAACAGGAUUAGAUACCCUGGUAGUC